This 581-nucleotide ribosomal RNA is filed under the name uncultured marine eukaryote. RNAcentral's name for it is "SSU rRNA". It matches the Rfam family "Eukaryotic small subunit ribosomal RNA", at positions 617 to 1201 of the family's 1831-position model. The record is from RNAcentral.
GGUUAAAAAGCUCGUAGUUGGAUUUCUGUUGAGGAUGACCGGUCCGCUCUUUGAGCGCGUAUCUGGUUCAGCCUUGGCAUCCUCUUGGGGAACGCUACUGUGCUUGAUUGCAUGGGGCGGUAUUCAAGACUUUUACUUUGAGGAAAUUAGAGUGUUCACUGCAAGCGUUAGCAAUUGAAUACAUUAGCAUGGAAUAAUAAUAUAGGACCUUGGUACUAUUUUGUUGGUUUCUAGAACUAAGGUAAUGAUUAAUAGGGACAAUUGGGGGCAUUCGUAUUAACGCGUCAGAGGUGGAAUUCUUAGAUUGCGUUACGACGAACUACUGCGAAAGCAUUUGCCAAGGAUGUUUUCAUUGAUCAAGAACGAAAGUAUGGGGAUCGAAGACGCUUAGAUACCGUCGUAGUCUAUACCAUAAACUAUGCCAACUAGAGAUUGGAGGUCGUUCUCUUUAUGACUCCUUCAGCACCUUAUGAGAAAUCAAAGUCUUUGGGUUCCGGGGGGAGUAUGGUCGCAAGGCUGAAACUUAAAGGAAUUGACGGAAGGGCACCACCAGGAGUGGAGCCUGCGGCUUAAUUUGACUC